Passer domesticus (house sparrow) is the source of this 1978-nucleotide long non-coding RNA. RefSeq lists it as uncharacterized. NCBI's taxonomy places the organism in Eukaryota, Metazoa, Chordata, Aves, Passeriformes, Passeridae. The transcript is spliced from 2 exons. The record is from RefSeq and is a predicted model, not a curated record.
GGUGCCUCGGCCAGUCCUAACAACCACCUCCAGGACGAUCCCCUUUCGGUUGCAGUUGACGGAGCCGCUCCAUCUUAUUGACUCAAAUAUCCAGCUCAUCUCCGUCAGCCCGGAGUGCCCAGGUACCUGGCAUCGGACCAAGGAAAGCCCGAGAAUGCCCAUCCCCAUAACCCACAUCGAGCUGAUCAUUCUCUGGAACCUUUUUGCCAUCGCGAGCCCAUGGAUUGUCCCUCAACCUAAGCAAAACGUUUGGAGGAUGCUCGCUGGCGCCCUCGGCAGGGAUCAUUUGUGCCUCACCACCGCCUCGGCAGCAGACCCCUUGUCGACCUGCCUUGUGGGGAUCCCGCUUCCUCCAAAGGAGUUUCCCGAGCCCCUUUACUCCUCCCUUAAACCCCUUUCCCAAAAUAAAGUUUUCCGUCCCUCUGGUCCCAAUCCCAAUUUAAUCUGGAGGAGGCUAAUGUCCAAAUUGAACAUAUCUAAAUCUGACCCCACUGAAUUUAAAUUGCUCGGCUCCGCAUCAGCAAAUUUGUGUGUUGAAUUUUUCCCUUUCCACGACCGCGACGAAAAAUCUUUUACACCAAUCAUAGAACCAAAUCUAAACUACGCGGCGGGGAAUUGGUGUUCUGUUACCUCCCAUAUCACCACCUCCCUCUCCUUUGAAGAUAAACCCAGAUCCCUUCCCAACGGCGUAUUUUUCAUUUGCGGAGACCGAGCAUGGGCAGGCAUCCCCUCUCACCUUCUAGGAGGCCCGUGUACAUUUGGACGGCUGACGCUGUUUGCUCCCAACAAUUCCCAAAUUAAAGAUUGGAAAGAGAAGAUUGUCGCACACAAUUCGGUCCGCGUAGCAAGAGAUCUUAAAGAUUUAAAUGAACAGUGUGACUCCCAAAUUGUUCAUUGGUCAAAGCCAGAAGGUGUCGCAUGGACAGUGUUUCUCCCGUGGGUGUCUAUUGCGAAGUCUCUAGGUGAAUUAGCCCACCUAGAGUGUUGGGUAGCCAAACAAGCAAAUUUUACCUCAGCCGCUUUAAGUAACCUCCUAGCAGACGAAGAAAUAACAAGGCAAGCAACUCUCCAAAACCGAGCAGCAAUAGAUUUUCUAUUGCUGCUCCAUGAUCACCGAUGUGAAGAGUUCGAGGGGCUCUGCUGCCUCAAUUUAACAUCCAGAGCCGAGGACGCCAGAAGAUCUAUUGACCGAAUGAAGGGAAUGAUCAGCGACAUUAAAGAGAAAACAUCAGACUGGUUAGGGGACAUCUUUACGGGAUGGGGUCUCUCGGGCUGGGUAGUUUCUAUUUUAAAAACUGUUGUUUUAGUCCUUUUCAUUUUAGUAGUCAUUUCAAUUGCAAUUUCUGUCGUUUGGAGAAUUCUUAAAGGGCUUAUAGUUAAGUCGAUGUCUGCUGCGGAAGUCAAUCGAGUGGUAGUCGAAGAAAAGGUUAUGGAUGAAAGUCAAGAAGAAGAAGGUUCCGAAGAAGAUGAGCAGUUAAAAGACCACCCUUGGUCAGAUGAAUCCUCAGAAGAUGGUUUUUAAGUUACCCCACUCCUCCUUUUUCUUUUUGAACAAAAAAGGGGGAGAUGUUGGGGUGCAUUAGUUUUAAGUUGGUUUAUUCCUGUACCCCCCAUUCCUGUUUAUGGUUCUGCCCGGGCUCUCUCUCUCUCCCUCUUCUUGAUCGCCCCGUCAGUUGCACUUUUCCCCUCCCUUUCCCUACGAUUUAUCUCUCCUAAUCCCUCCCUGGCUGCCUGUCUGUUAUUCGGUGCCCACACCCUUCCAUCCAGAACCUUCUGCCUUGGACAUUGAAUGAUUGGACCAGGGGUCAGGGUUCAACCCUCAGUUUAUUCCCACUGGAGAUCCGAGAUGUUUGUUACGUGUUAUUCCCUCCUCUCAAAAAUUUAGAUUGGUCAUUGUGUUCUGGUUAUAAGGCCCUGCCGGGCAUGCCUUUUUGUCCGCGCUCGACGCACUUUCAAUAAACCCUCUCGUUUUCCCUGU